UUGCAGGCUGCAACCCGCCUCGCAUGAAGUCGGAAUUGCUAGUAAUCGCGGAUCAGCAUGCCGCGGUGAAUACGUUCCCGGGCCUUGUACACACCGCCCGUCACACCAUGGGAGCCGGUAAUACCCGAAGUCAGUAGUCCAACCUCGUGAGGACACUGCCGAAGGUAGGAUUGGCGACUGGGGUGAAGUCGUAACAAGGUAAC
This 203-nucleotide ribosomal RNA is filed under the name uncultured bacterium. RNAcentral describes it as "partial 16S ribosomal RNA". It matches the Rfam family "Bacterial small subunit ribosomal RNA", at positions 1298 to 1500 of the family's 1533-position model. The record is from RNAcentral.